Molecule: microRNA precursor, 72 nt
Filed under: Medicago truncatula (barrel medic)
Lineage: Eukaryota; Viridiplantae; Streptophyta; Magnoliopsida; Fabales; Fabaceae
Description: MIR2629 microRNA precursor family
Rfam family: MIR2629 microRNA precursor family
Source: Rfam by way of RNAcentral
AACCAAGGUUUUCCUCGGCAGUUAACUGCAGCUGGUUUUUGAAUUUCUCGGCAGUUAACUGUCGAAGAGGCA